UAGUCCACGCCCUAAACGAUGAUAACUAGCCGUUGGCCCUUCGGGGCUAGUGGCGAAGCUAACGCGCUAAGUUAUCCGCCUGGGGAGUACGGCCGCAAGGUUAAAACUCAAAGAAAUUGACGGGGACCCGCACAAGCGGUGGCGCAUGUGGUUUAAUUCGAUGAUACGCGAGGAACCUUACCCAGGCUCUAAUGCUAUGCGCUACAGGGUGAAAGCCUUGGUUCCUUCGGGACGCAUAGCAAGGUGCUGCAUGGUUGUCGUCAGCUCGUGCCGUGAGGUGUUGGGUUAAGUCCCGCAACGAGCGCAACCCCUAUUUUCAGUUGCCAGCACAUAAUGGUGGGGACUCUGGAGAGACUGCCGGCGCAAGCCGCGAGGAAGGUGGGGACGACGUCAAAUCAUCAUGGCCUUUAUGCCUGGGGCUACACACGUGCUACAAUGGUAGAUACAGAGGGCAGCCAAACCGCGAGGUUGAGCAAAUCCCUUAAAGUCUAUCCCAGUUCGGAUUGG
Molecule: ribosomal RNA, 507 nt
Filed under: uncultured bacterium
Lineage: Bacteria
Description: bacterial SSU rRNA
Rfam family: Bacterial small subunit ribosomal RNA
Source: RNAcentral